This 253-nucleotide ribosomal RNA is filed under the name uncultured bacterium. RNAcentral's name for it is "partial 16S ribosomal RNA". It matches the Rfam family "Bacterial small subunit ribosomal RNA", at positions 524 to 776 of the family's 1533-position model. The record is from RNAcentral.
UACAGAGGGGGCAAGCGUUGUUCGGAAUUACUGGGCGUAAAGGGCGCGUAGGCGGCCCGCUAAGUCGAACGUGAAAUCCCCGAGCUCAACUCGGGAACUGCGUCCGAUACUGGCGGGCUUGAAUCCGGGAGAGGGAUGUGGAAUUCCAGGUGUAGCGGUGAAAUGCGUAGAUAUCUGGAGGAACACCGGUGGCGAAGGCGGCAUCCUGGACCGAAAUUGACGCUGAUGCGCGAAAGCCAGGGGAGCAAACGGG